AUUCAACUGCCUAAUGCUCCAGCCACUGGGAGGCCUCCAGUGGCAGACUCUGAACCCCUGAUGUCCACCACCUCCCUCUCCUCUCCUCUCAUCCACCCCUGCAACUCCUCCAUCCCAUGAUGUAGCAGAGUUCCAGUCACUCAGGAAAAAGGAGACCAAGAGCUGCCUAAGGAAGAGACCACUUAAACAUGUGCAGCAUUUUUUAAAAGCAAAAUUUCUAAAAGAUCGGGGCCUACCGUAAUUCUUCAUAUUACAUUUGUUGAACAAGUUCCAUCCCAGUCGAGAAUGAGGAGCAAAAAAUUCACAGGAGCCGGGAAAGAAAGCGUGAGGAUGGGCGUGGAGUAAUACGCCAGCUCUUCCUGGACAAGCCACCGUCUGAGGAAGAGAUGGCAAAGAGGAAGAGAGACUGUUCCUUCACCCCCACCUUUCUCCUGGCUUUCCAGCUCCUCCCAAAUGUCCGAGGUGAUGAUGAAGCCGGUGAGGCAUCCUGGAAGGAGGAGAAAGUGUGUGUCCUGUGUUUCUGUGCUUCGUAAGGCAGUCGGGUCAGCCAAGAGAUCAGGCCCUAUAGCCAUGGCCAUUGUGAGGAGCUCACAGCUUUCAGAGCAGAGAACAUAAUUUUUAAAAAUAGACGUUGUUUCUGCCUCAAAGAAUACCUUUCCUUGUUCUAAAGCAGCGAUUUCCAAACUUUAUUAUCAUAAAUUCCUAUCAGUAAAAUAAAAAUAAAAUUGAGGACAUACUA
Long non-coding RNA from Bos taurus (domestic cattle), 739 nucleotides. Lineage: Eukaryota; Metazoa; Chordata; Mammalia; Artiodactyla; Bovidae. The record is from Ensembl.